RNAcentral lists this transfer RNA (74 nucleotides) under Firmicutes bacterium ML8_F2. RNAcentral describes it as "tRNA-Thr". It matches the Rfam family "tRNA". Rfam says of the family: Transfer RNA (tRNA) molecules are approximately 80 nucleotides in length. The record is from RNAcentral. Lineage: Bacteria; Bacillati; Bacillota.
GCCCAGAUAGCUCAGUUGGUUAGAGCACAUCAUUGGUAAUGAUGAGGUCGGCGGUUCGAAUCCGCCUCUGGGCU